GACGAACGCUGGCGGCGUGCUUAACACAUGCAAGUCGAACGGAGAGGCCUGCUUUCCCUUGUGGAUUGCGGGUACUCGAGUGGCGAACGGGUGAGUAACACGUGAGUGAUCUGCCCCCAACUUGGGUAUAAGCCUGGGAAACUGGGUCUAAUUCCCGAUAGGACUGCAGGGUGGUGCCUGUGGUGGAAAACGAUUUUCUAGUGGUUGGGGAUGAGCUCGCGGCCUAUCAGCUUGUUGGUGGGGUAAUGGCCUACCAAGGCGGCGACGGGUAGCCGGCCUGAGAGGGUGGACGGCCACAUUGGGACUGAGAUACGGCCCAGACUCCUACGGGAGGCGGCAGUGGGGAAUAUUGCACAAUGGGCGGAAGCCUGAUGCAGCGACGCCGCGUGGUGGAUGACGGCCUUCGGGUUGUAAACUCCUUUCGACCGCGAGGAAGCCACCUGGUUGGAAGGGUGGUGACGGUAGUGGUAGAAGAAGCACCGGCUAACUACGUG
RNAcentral lists this ribosomal RNA (494 nucleotides) under uncultured bacterium. Its description in RNAcentral is "partial 16S ribosomal RNA". It matches the Rfam family "Bacterial small subunit ribosomal RNA", at positions 28 to 507 of the family's 1533-position model. The record is from RNAcentral.